This is a long non-coding RNA of Rhipicephalus microplus (southern cattle tick), 349 nucleotides long. The record is from RefSeq and is a predicted model, not a curated record. Lineage: Eukaryota; Metazoa; Arthropoda; Arachnida; Ixodida; Ixodidae.
AUACUUACACCCUGCAUGUUAUGUUUUGUCCUUUCCUCGUUGCACGGCUGAGCGGCAAGGAUGCGAUCAUCCGUCGGCACUUAUUGUACGGGAAUUAGACGCUCACUCUCGUUGUCAGUCAGGCAUAAACACGUGCCACAAUCUUCGUAACCUUCAGACAGGUUUCUAACCUUGGAUGUCUACACGUGAAGGUACUUCAUCUAUUUGCUCUACCCUCCAACCGACGUCUGGGAAAGUAAUGUGCUCUAAUGUGACCGUUAAUUAUUUCUCAUAAGGAUGGCUUCGCUUGAGAGCACUGCUGUUAAACUGCAAUCAACUGUUUCUAUGGCAACCGCAACAAAAAAAAAAA